GGGUGGUAAAUAAUUGUGCCAGCCACCGCGGUUAUAUGAGAGACCCCAGUUGAUGAAUAAGGCGUAAAGAGUGGUUUGGGGCGCCAAACAAAUAAAGCCAAAGACCUCCCAAUUAAUCAAACGCACCCCGGAGAGGGAAGCCCUAACACGAAAGUAGCUUUACCCCUCCCCCCCCACCCCCCGAAAGCUAAGAAAAAAACUGGGAUUAAAACCCCCCCUAUGCUUACCCCUAAACUUUGAUGGCAUUUUUACAAAUACCAUCCGCCAGGGUACUACGAGCAUUAGCUUAAAACCCAAAGGAGUUGGGUGGUGUCUUAUCACCCCUCCAAGAGGAUCUUGUU
RNAcentral lists this ribosomal RNA (341 nucleotides) under Oligosarcus acutirostris. RNAcentral describes it as "partial small subunit ribosomal RNA". The record is from RNAcentral. Lineage: Eukaryota; Metazoa; Chordata; Actinopteri; Characiformes; Acestrorhamphidae.